GUCAUAAAAUUGGGUUAUAUGUCAGUAGUCCCUAACAAUGAUUUGACAAGAAUCUCAAGUUCUUGAUCUACUUUGAAAGCAUGAAACUUGAAAUAAGAGAAGACAGACAAUUUAUAACUAAGAUUUCUUGGAUUUAAUAUAGUUAUUAUAGCCAACAAGAUAGGAUUUUCUGGGACAUUCUUGAGUAAAAGUAAUUAUUACCCAGUAAUGAUAUUUAUCAGGCCAUAUGUUCUAAUUUUGGCUUGGAAACUGACUAAAUGUAAAGUGUGUGGAGCAGUAGUGGGCAGAGGGAACCAGCUCCGGAGCUGCAAAACCAGCCUGGCAGUCACCGGCAUAACAUCCUUGGAGCUAUCAUUUGUUUUCACUUGCAAUCUACAGCUUGGAGCAUGGUUGGUUCUAGAAACUCUCCAGCCAAAUUUACACCUGAUAUAGAGAUGUGUUCUAUGCAGAAGGACCAGGGAAGAGCAGAUGCAGGAAUGAUUAUACAAGUUCAAGGGAAGAAGUGAAAAUCCAUUAAGCAGCAGAAGAUUAGCCCUGAGCUAACAUCUGCCGCCAAUCCUCCUCUUUUUGCUGAGGAAGACUCGUCCUGAGCUAACAUCUGUGCCCAUCUUCCUCUACUUUAUAUGUGGGAUGCCUGCCACAGCAUGGCGCGACAAGCACUGUGUAUACUGCGCCUGGGAUCUGAACCAGAGAAUCCUAGGCUGCUGAAGUGGAAUGUGCGAACCUAAGCACUACAUCACUGGGCCAGUCCCAAAAUAUUUGUAUAUAUAUUUUGUGAUUUCUUGUUCAGAGUCUAAUUCUAACAGAAGGCUCAGUUGUCUCUAUAAAGGUUUAUCUGUAAAGAUAUUUUCCAAGAAAGAUGUAGCCCUGAUUUUAAUGGGUGGUCUCAGCAGUGGCCUUUUUGUAUCAUACCUGUGGUUCACCACAGCAUGGUUCCCACAAGAUCCAGGAAAUUCAGCCCAUUAGCACAGAAAUGACAUUUGGUUUAGAUUGUAAGCUCUGAUAGCACAAGGGGCGUGUCUAUUUUCUUCAUUGUUAUUUGUACGGUUCUGAGUGAAGUGGCUGUUGCAUAAUAUAUAACUAUUAAGAGAAUGAACAAAUUCAGAUCCCCUGGGCUACCACUCCUCUGAGCUAGGAAGAACUUCAAUGAUGUUCACUACAUAAUAAAGGAAGAAAUCAGGAAACUUUAUUCAAGGUCUGUUUCUGACAUUAAU
This 1214-nucleotide long non-coding RNA is filed under the name Equus caballus (horse). RNAcentral describes it as "lncRNA (ENSECAG00000047900.1)". The record is from RNAcentral. Lineage: Eukaryota; Metazoa; Chordata; Mammalia; Perissodactyla; Equidae.